UAGGUUAGUGGGAAAUUAUCUGCCUUCCAAGCAGUUGUUAUAGUUCAAUUCCCAGAU
Molecule: transfer RNA, 57 nt
Filed under: Fragilariopsis kerguelensis
Lineage: Eukaryota; Bacillariophyta; Bacillariophyceae; Bacillariales; Bacillariaceae
Source: RNAcentral